Molecule: non-coding RNA, 30 nt
Filed under: Mus musculus (house mouse)
Lineage: Eukaryota; Metazoa; Chordata; Mammalia; Rodentia; Muridae
Source: RNAcentral
UGUGUGCACAGAAACUAAAUGUUGUCUACC